RNAcentral lists this ribosomal RNA (480 nucleotides) under uncultured bacterium. RNAcentral's name for it is "partial 16S ribosomal RNA". It matches the Rfam family "Bacterial small subunit ribosomal RNA", at positions 29 to 507 of the family's 1533-position model. The record is from RNAcentral.
ACGAACGUUGGCGGCGUGCUUAAUACAUGCAAGUCAACUGAAGCAGUGGUAGCAAUAUCGCUGUGGAGGUGGCGCACGGGUGAGUAACACGUAGGUAAUCUGCCUUCAGGUCUGGCAUAACUCCGGGAAACCGGGGCUAAUAGCAGAUGAUGCAGCGGCUCGACAUCGAGACAGUUGUUAAAGCUAUGGCGCCUGCAGAUGAGCCUGCGUCUGAUUAGCUAGUUGGCGGGGUAACGGCCCACCAAGGCAACGAUCAGUAGCUGGUCUGAGAGGAUGAUCAGCCACACUGGAACUGAGACACGGUCCAGACUCCUACGGGAGGCAGCAGUAAGGAAUAUUGCUCAAUGGGAGAAAUCCUGAAGCAGCAACGCCGCGUGAGGGACGAAGGGCUUUUGCUUGUAAACCUCUGUAGUGAGAGAAAAAAAUCCCAAUCUUUGGGACAUGAUGGUAUCUCAAAAGUAAGCCCCGGCUAACUACGUG